GAGCGGCGGACGGGUGAGUAACGCGUGGGUAACCUGCCUCAUACAGGGGGAUAACAGUUAGAAAUGGCUGCUAAUACCGCAUAAGCGCACAGGACCGCAUGGUCUGGUGUGAAAAACUCCGGUGGUAUGAGAUGGUCCCGCGUUGGAUUAGCUAGUUGGUGGGGUAACGGCCUACCAAGGCGACGAUCAGUAGCCGGUCUGAGAGGAUGAACGGCCACACUGGAACUGAGACACGGUCCAGACUCCUACGGGAGGCAGCAGUGGGGAAUCUUCCGCAAUGAGCGAAAGCCUGACCGAGCAACGCCGCGUGAGGGAGGAAGUAUUUCGGUAUGUAAACCUCUGUUAUAAAGGAAGAACGGCGCAUGUAGGGAAUGACAUGCGAGUGACGGUACUUUAUGAGAAAGCCACGGCUAACUACGUGCCAGCAGCCGCGGUAAUACGUAGGUGGCGAGCGUUAUCCGGAAUCAUUGGGCGUAAAGAGGGAGCAGGCGGCAACUAGGGUCUGCGGUAAAAGACCGAAGCUAAACUUCGGUAAGCCGUGGAAACCGAGGAGCUAGAGUGCAGUAGAGGAUCGUGGAAUUCCAUGUGUAGCGGUGAAAUGCGUAGAUAUAUGGAGGAACACCAGUGGCGAAGGCGACGAUCUGGGCUGCAACUGACGCUCAGUCCCGAAAGCGUGGGGAGCAAAUAGGAUUAGAUACCCUAGUAGUCCACGCCGUAAACGAUGAGUACUAAGUGUUGGGGGUCAGACCUCAGUGCUGCAGUUAACGCAAUAAGUACUCCGCCUGAGUAGUACGUUCGCAAGAAUGAAACUCAAAGGAAUUGACGGGGGCCCGCACAAGCGGUGGAGCAUGUGGUUUAAUUCGAAGCAACGCGAAGAACCUUACCAGGGCUUGACAUAUGGGUGAAGCGGGGGAGACCCCGUGGCCGAGAGGAGCCCAUACAGGUGGUGCAUGGCUGUCGUCAGCUCGUGUCGUGAGAUGUUGGGUUAAGUCCCGCAACGAGCGCAACCCCCGCCGCGUGUUGCCAUCGGGUGAUGCCGGGAACCCACGCGGGACCGCCGCCGUCAAGGCGGAGGAGGGCGGGGACGACGUCAAGUCAUCAUGCCCCUUAUGCCCUGGGCUGCACACGUGCUACAAUGGCCGGUACAGAGGGAUGCCACCCCGCGAGGGGGAGCGGAUCCCGGAAAGCCGGCCCCAGUUCGGAUUGGGGGCUGCAACCCGCCCCCAUGAAGUCGGAGUUGCUAGUAAUCGCGGAUCAGCAUGCCGCGGUGAAUGCGUUCCCGGGCCUUGUACUCACCGCCCGUCA
Molecule: ribosomal RNA, 1305 nt
Filed under: uncultured bacterium
Lineage: Bacteria
Description: bacterial SSU rRNA
Rfam family: Bacterial small subunit ribosomal RNA
Source: RNAcentral